This 1266-nucleotide long non-coding RNA is filed under the name Equus caballus (horse). Its description in RNAcentral is "lncRNA (ENSECAG00000048779.1)". Lineage: Eukaryota; Metazoa; Chordata; Mammalia; Perissodactyla; Equidae. The record is from RNAcentral.
GUACUGGACUGGUGGUGGAGAUGUUUACAUGGACACAGCAGUGCCUGUCCAGCUGCUCUGAAGGUGACAGGUGGAUGAACAGCUGGUUCCCACCUGCUGGGAUAAGAGAGCAGAUGGAGGAGGGAGCACAGGUGUGGGAAUGUGCAGGUGCCAGACUUCCCCGGAGCAGAUGCCCCAGGUCCCAAUUCACAGAUUUGCUCAUGAUCCACCCUCUCCGUGGCCGUCAAGUCCCGGUAAAGGAUGACUUGGACAUGAUGAACUCUACUGCCUCGUGCACAUUACUUCCAUGCCGUGUCUUUCCUGGAUAACUCGGAUGAAUGUAAUGUCAUGUUACAUGGCUGUGGCUGUCUUCGAACAUCUCUCAUCAAUCCUUCUCCAAACUCUUCGUUAGCUCCUCAGCUGAUUCCUCACCUGCAAAGACGGCGGUAACCACCUCCUGCUCUUCUCUGAAACACAGAAAAACCUCGUUGCUCUAUGACUUCAACUAGUUCCUCCAGAAGAAUGACUUAUAAAUCAGAGGACCUAAUCUAGGUUAUCCAGCAGCCUCCACCUACCCAUUAAUGUUCCAGCUGAGGUCCUACAAGGAUCCAAAACACUUUUUAAACUAAAUUUAGAGAUUUUUCUCGUUGGAAAUAUGGCACGCUAAAUAUUGCGAAGAAUUCCUGCUAUGUAACAUCAAAAAAUACUCAAUAGAAAAUAUUUUUGAACUGCCAUUUUAAAUGAAUUAAUGAGCUUGCAAGAAAUCUGCUGAAGUCUACAUAAAGCCCACAUACUUGGAAUAAUUUCACCCCAUCCCUGAUGGGGUCAAGAGUUCAAGCGAACAUUCAAGAAAGAAAUUAUUUUUAUCUUACAUAAUCUCUUCCAGAGAAUAGAAAAGAGGAAUUACUUUCUGACUUUUUUAUUAACCUGAAAACCUUGAUACCAAAACUUGACAAAUAAGAAUGAAAAAGGAGUAUUAGAAUUAAACAUCAUUUAAGAAUAGAGAUAGAAAGACCUUAAAAAACAAUGAAGCACUGGAUCCAGCACUCAAUGAAAACAAGAUCAUAUGAGGUCAUGAAGUAGGGUUUAUUCCAGGAAUGCAAAGUGGAUUUAAUAUUGUAUAAACAAUUAAUGCAAUUUCCGCAGGAACAGACGAAUGGAGUAAACCACAGGACCAUUUUACUAGAUGCAAAAAGAAUUUAAUAAAACUAACAUUCAUUCAUGUUGAAAACUCUUAGGAAACUAGAAGGAGAAAAGAAAUUCAUUAAUAUGAUGAAGAGAAUCUAC